RNAcentral lists this ribosomal RNA (506 nucleotides) under uncultured Pseudomonadota bacterium. RNAcentral describes it as "bacterial SSU rRNA". It matches the Rfam family "Bacterial small subunit ribosomal RNA", at positions 397 to 896 of the family's 1533-position model. The record is from RNAcentral. Lineage: Bacteria; Pseudomonadati; Pseudomonadota.
CCGCGUGUGUGAAGAAGGCCUUCGGGUUGUAAAGCACUUUUAUCAGGAGCGAAAUACCAUCGGUUAAUAACCGGUGGGGCUGACGGUACCUGAGGAAUAAGCACCGGCUAACUCGUGCCAGCAGCCGCGGUAAUACGAAGGGUGCAAGCGUUAAUCGGAAUUACUGGGCGUAAAGGGUGCGUAGGCGGAUGUUUAAGUCUGUCGUGAAAUCCCCGGGCUCAACCUGGGAAUGGCGAUGGAUACUGGGCAGCUAGAGUGUGUCAGAGGAUGGUGGAAUUCCCGGUGUAGCGGUGAAAUGCGUAGGGAUCGGGAGGAACAUCAGUGGCGAAGCGGCCAUCUGGGACAACACUGACGCUGAAGCACGAAAGCGUGGGGAGCAAACAGGAUUAGAUACCCUGGUAGUCCACGCCCUAAACGAUGCGAACUGGAUGUUGGUCUCAACUCGGAGAUCAGUGUCGAAGCUAACGCGUUAAGUUCGCCGCCUGGGGAGUAAGGUCGCAAGACUG